Molecule: ribosomal RNA, 497 nt
Filed under: uncultured bacterium
Lineage: Bacteria
Description: partial 16S ribosomal RNA
Rfam family: Bacterial small subunit ribosomal RNA
Source: RNAcentral
GAUGAACGCUGGCGGCGUGCCUAAUACAUGCAAGUCGAGCGAACAGACGAGGAGCUUGCUCCUCUGACGUUAGCGGCGGACGGGUGAGUAACACGUGGAUAACCUACCUAUAAGACUGGGAUAACUUCGGGAAACCGGAGCUAAUACCGGAUAAUAUAUUGAACCGCAUGGUUCAAUAGUGAAAGACGGUUUUGCUGUCACUUAUAGAUGGAUCCGCGCCGCAUUAGCUAGUUGGUAAGGUAACGGCUUACCAAGGCGACGAUGCGUAGCCGACCUGAGAGGGUGAUCGGCCACACUGGAACUGAGACACGGUCCAGACUCCUACGGGAGGCAGCAGUAGGGAAUCUUCCGCAAUGAGCGAAAGCUUGACGGAGCAACGCCGCGUGAGUGAUGAAGGUCUUCGGAUCGUAAAACUCUGUUAUUAGGGAAGAACAAAUGUGUAAGUAACUAUGCACGUCUUGACGGUACCUAAUCAGAAAGCCACGGCUAACUACGUG